RNAcentral lists this ribosomal RNA (468 nucleotides) under uncultured bacterium. RNAcentral describes it as "partial 16S ribosomal RNA". It matches the Rfam family "Bacterial small subunit ribosomal RNA", at positions 28 to 507 of the family's 1533-position model. The record is from RNAcentral.
GACGAACGCUGGCGGCGUGCUUAACACAUGCAAGUCGAACGGAAAGGCCCUGCCGUUGGGGGGUGCUCGAGGGGCGAACGGGUGAGAAACAGGUGAGUAACCUUCCCCUGACUGUUGGAUAACGUCAGGUAACUGGAGUUAAUACCGGAUAUGAGCGCCGGCUGCAGGGUGGGGGUAGGAAUGUUUGGGGGGUGGGGGGUGGGCGCGCUGCUUGUCAGUUUGUGGGGGGGGGGGUGGCCUAGCAAGGGAUUGGUCGGUGGCCGGCCUGAGUGGGUGGCCGGCCCCAGUGGGACUGAGAUACCGCCCCGACUCCUACGGGAGGCAGCAGUGGGGGAUAUUGCAACAUGGGCGGAAGCCUGAUGCAGCAACCCCGCGUGCGGGAAGGCGGCCUUCGGGUUGUAAACCGCUUUCGCCUGCGACGAAGCGUGAAUGGCCGUUAUGGGUAGAGGAGCCCCGGCUCACUUCGUG